GGGAACGGGGGGGCGUGCUAUACAUGCAAGUAGAACGCUGAAGAGAGGAGCUUGCUCUUCUUGGAUGAGUUGCGAACGGGUGAGUAACGCGUAGGUAACCUGCCUUGUAGCGGGGGAUAACUAUUGGAAACGAUAGCUAAUACCGCAUAACAAUGGAUGACACAUGUCAUUUAUUUGAAAGGGGCAAUUGCUCCACUACAAGAUGGACCUGCGUUGUAUUAGCUAGUAGGUGAGGUAACGGCUCACCUAGGCGACGAUACAUAGCCGACCUGAGAGGGUGAUCGGCCACACUGGGACUGAGACACGGCCCAGACUCCUACGGGAGGCAGCAGUAGGGAAUCUUCGGCAAUGGGGGCAACCCUGACCGAGCAACGCCGCGUGAGUGAAGAAGGUUUUCGGAUCGUAAAACUCUGUUGUAAGUCAAGAACGAGUGUGAGAGUGGAAAGUUCACACUGUGACGGUAGCUUACCAGAAAGGGACGGCUAACUACGUGCCAGCAGCCGCGGUAAUACGUAGGUCCCGAGCGUUGUCCGGAUUUAUUGGGCGUAAAGCGAGCGCAGGCGGUUUGAUAAGUCUGAAGUUAAAGGCUGUGGCUCAACCAUAGUUCGCUUUGGAAACUGUCAAACUUGAGUGCAGAAGGGGAGAGUGGAAUUCCAUGUGUAGCGGUGAAAUGCGUAGAUAUAUGGAGGAACACCGGUGGCGAAAGCGGCUCUCUGGUCUGUAACUGACGCUGAGGCUCGAAAGCGUGGGGAGCGAACAGGAUUAGAUACCCUGGUAGUCCACGCCGUAAACGAUGAGUGCUAGGUGUUGGAUCCUUUCCGGGAUUCAGUGCCGCAGCUAACGCAUUAAGCACUCCGCCUGGGGAGUACGACCGCAAGGUUGAAACUCAAAGGAAUUGACGGGGGCCCGCACAAGCGGUGGAGCAUGUGGUUUAAUUCGAAGCAACGCGAAGAACCUUACCAGGUCUUGACAUCCCGAUGCUAUUUCUAGAGAUAGAAAGUUACUUCGGUACAUCGGUGACAGGUGGUGCAUGGUUGUCGUCAGCUCGUGUCGUGAGAUGUUGGGUUAAGUCCCGCAACGAGCGCAACCCCUAUUGUUAGUUGCCAUCAUUCAGUUGGGCACUCUAGCGAGACUGCCGGUAAUAAACCGGAGGAAGGUGGGGAUGACGUCAAAUCAUCAUGCCCCUUAUGACCUGGGCUACACACGUGCUACAAUGGUUGGUACAACGAGUUGCGAGUCGGUGACGGCAAGCUAAUCUCUUAAAGCCAAUCUCAGUUCGGAUUGUAGGCUGCAACUCGCCUACAUGAAGUCGGAAUCGCUAGUAAUCGCGGAUCAGCACGCCGCGGUGAAUACGUUCCCGGGCCUUGUACACACCGCCCGUCACACCACGAGAGUUUGUAACACCCGAAGUCGGUGAGGUAACCUUUGGAGCCAGCCGCCUAAGGUGGAUAAGAGAUGG
This 1459-nucleotide ribosomal RNA is filed under the name Streptococcus salivarius. RNAcentral's name for it is "bacterial SSU rRNA". It matches the Rfam family "Bacterial small subunit ribosomal RNA". Lineage: Bacteria; Bacillati; Bacillota; Bacilli; Lactobacillales; Streptococcaceae. The record is from RNAcentral.